This 241-nucleotide long non-coding RNA is filed under the name Bos taurus (domestic cattle). Its description in RNAcentral is "long non-coding RNA NONBTAT018322". Lineage: Eukaryota; Metazoa; Chordata; Mammalia; Artiodactyla; Bovidae. The record is from RNAcentral.
AAGAACCACCGGGCUGUGAGGGAAAGAUGAAAUGCAAGAUGUCUCCAAAGAGGAAGAUGGGGGACACAAAAACAGUCAGUGCCACAUUGUUAUGCUGCCCAGGAUCCCGUUAGCUUUACUCUGCCACAAGGGUGUAGCAUAAAAUAUACCUUGCUCAGCCUUUACCAACAGUAAUGCACAGAGUAACAUAUUCUUCCUUAUUAAAAAGAAAACUCUGAUUCUUCCUACUGAGCAAUAUAAA